CCUACGGGUGGCUGCAGUGGGGAAUCUUGCACAAUGGGGGCAACCCUGAUGCAGCAACGCCGCGUGAGUGAUGACGGCCUUCGGGUUGUAAAGCUCUGUCUUCAGGGACGAUCAUGCCUGUACCUGAGUAUGAACCCACUGCUACAUACGUGCCAGCAGCCGCCGUAAUACGUAGGUGGCGAGCGUUGUCCGGAUGUACUGGGGGGAAAGGGAGCGGAGGCGGACUUUUAUGUGAGAUGUGAAAUACUCGGGCUCAACUUGAGGGGUGCAUCUCAAACUGGAAGACUAGAGUGCAGGAGAGGAGAAUGGAAUUCCGAGUGUAGCGGUGGAAUGCGUAGAGAUUAGGAAGAACACCAGUGGCGAAGGCGAGUCUCUGGACUGCAACUGACGCUGAGGCUCGAAAGCAUGGGGAGCAAACAGGAUUAGAUACCCCAGUAGUC
This 440-nucleotide ribosomal RNA is filed under the name uncultured bacterium. Its description in RNAcentral is "partial 16S ribosomal RNA". It matches the Rfam family "Bacterial small subunit ribosomal RNA", at positions 338 to 795 of the family's 1533-position model. The record is from RNAcentral.